AAAGUUUGCAAGAGGGGGAGGGGCGGCAUGUGUGGAACUUAGGGACUGUCCAGGGGUGCUGGGUGUCCCAUGCCUACUACCCCUGAUUGUGCAUGUUGGGGCAGUAGCCCAGGAAUCCUCAGGACUGACCUGAACCUACCAGGCCUCACAGAUGUGUGCGUAAAUGUGAAUGCCCCCACACAAAGCCUGCUUUGACCUUGCAGCGGGACCUGAGAUUCCACAUCUGGAUGCGCCCCCUGCCACCUAGUUGGAGCAGGGGAUUGCAUUUGGGAGGAGAAGGUUAAAACUUUGCAUUUGGGUAUGGAGAGCUUCCCAACAGACCUCCGUUCCUCAAGCAAUAAUCCCAGCUUGUCUAUCUCCGGAGAGAGCGCUCACACAAUCAGUGCGUGCUCGUUAAGUCCUGGAGAUCCACUGAGCGCGCAGCCUAACGCUGGAGAAAGUGGUUUGAAACCCAAAGUAUAGAAAAUGUAAAUAAAAGGCAGGCGUGUCAGAGAGGGUGAGGGAUCUCCGUAACACCUCAUUUCAUUUUUUUAAAGGAGGGGGACACUUCCCCGCCGCCUGCAGCCUUGACCUCCAAGGCGGGGGUAGGGACCGUUGUGGCUCUUUCCUGAGGCUGUUUCCUGUCUGGCUCCUGGGGGCCCUCGGGAUGGCUGGGAGGGCCCUUCCUCUCAUUUGCUAGCACCCCCUCUCAUCCAUCAGUUUGAGGGGAGGGUCCAGGAAAGACGGCCUCCUAUCUACAUCAGGGCACUGUGAGUGUGGGGCACGGGAUGGUUGGAUGAGAGAGGUGCUGUUCCCGAAGUCGGUCCUUUAAGGGCUGCGGUAAGGAGACUUUAAUUUAAGUGACGCCCGAGAUCUUUACUCCCCGGGUCAGGAAGCACCCUCCAUUUAUCCUGUGUGUGUGAGGUCAUUCCUUCCACUCCCGGACCACCAGAAACUCCUGCUGCCAGCACUGAGUUGCUUAGCCUUCUGCUGCAGGGGACUUGGAGGAACUGGGACGUGGCUCUGUGGUAGAAGUGCCAGCUGCCAAAGCGGACAACUUGAGUUUGAAUUUCAAGGUAAACAUAGUGGAAGGAGAAAACCGAUUUCCAGAAGUUGUCUGUCAUCUGUGACCUCCACAUGGACACUGUGGCCUUCACUGGCUCUCUCCUAACGCAAUAAAUAUGCAAAUAAAAAAUAGGAUUACGGGCUGGUGAGAUGGCUCAGUGGGUAAGAGC
Molecule: long non-coding RNA, 1214 nt
Organism: Mus musculus (house mouse)
Lineage: Eukaryota; Metazoa; Chordata; Mammalia; Rodentia; Muridae
Product: predicted gene, 52791
Exons: 3
Source: RefSeq, a predicted model, not a curated record